RNAcentral lists this ribosomal RNA (112 nucleotides) under Caerostris darwini. The record is from RNAcentral. Lineage: Eukaryota; Metazoa; Arthropoda; Arachnida; Araneae; Araneidae.
AACGGCCACACCAUGCUGAAUAUACCGGUUCUCGUUAGAUCACCGAAGUCAAGCAUCAUUGGGCGCGGUCAGUACUUGGGUGGGUGACCACCUGGGAACACCACGUGUCGUU